UCGGGUAUGGUGUAACGGUAACAUUUCUGACUCUCAAAAUCUGGUCUCCAGAUUGAGCACUCAGGGGCCCGGGGUUCGAUUCCCCGUAUCCGAG
Molecule: non-coding RNA, 94 nt
Organism: Lasiosphaeris hirsuta
Lineage: Eukaryota; Fungi; Ascomycota; Sordariomycetes; Sordariales; Lasiosphaeriaceae
Source: the annotation of a GenBank genome assembly